GCGUCAGCGAGAGAGCGUCAGCGAGAGAGCGUCAGCGAGAGAGCGUCAGCGAGAGAGCGUUGCCGCAGGCAACGACCCGUAGGGCGAAGCGCGCAGCGCUGAGUAAUCCUUCCCCCACCACCA
This 123-nucleotide small RNA is filed under the name Escherichia coli. RNAcentral describes it as "RtT sRNA". It matches the Rfam family "RtT RNA", at positions 45 to 130 of the family's 130-position model. From Rfam's summary of the family: This family represents a bacterial cis-regulatory element known as RtT RNA. The exact function of RtT is unknown although it is thought that it may be involved in changing the cellular response in relation to amino acid starvation. Lineage: Bacteria; Pseudomonadati; Pseudomonadota; Gammaproteobacteria; Enterobacterales; Enterobacteriaceae. The record is from RNAcentral.